UUCCGGUUGAUCCUGCCGGAGGCCAUUGCUAUUGGAGUCCGAUUUAGCCAUGCUAGUCGCGCGGGUUAGACCCGCGGCAUAUAGCUCAGUAACACGUGGCCAAACUACCCUAUGGACGGGGACAACCUCGGGAAACUGAGGCUAAUCCCCGAUACAGCUCUCACGCUGGAGUGCCGAGAGCUGGAAACGUCCUGGCGCCAUAGGAUGUGGCUGCGGCCGAUUAGGUAGAUGGUGGGGUAACGGCCCACCAUGCCAAUAAUCGGUACGGGUUGUGAGAGCAAGAGCCCGGAGACGGUAUCUGAGACAAGAUACCGGGCCCUACGGGGCGCAGCAGGCGCGAAACCUUUACACUGCACGACAGUGCGAUAAGGGGACUCCAAGUGCGAGGGCAUAUAGUCCUCGCUUUUCUGUACCGUAGGGAGGUACAGGAACAAGUGCUGGGCAAGACCGGUGCCAGCCGCCGCGGU
Molecule: ribosomal RNA, 467 nt
Filed under: uncultured archaeon
Lineage: Archaea
Description: bacterial SSU rRNA
Rfam family: Archaeal small subunit ribosomal RNA
Source: RNAcentral